UGGGGAAUAUUGCACAAUGGGCGGAAGCCUGAUGCAGCGACGCCGCGUGGGGGAUGAAGGCCUUCGGGUUGUAAACUCCUUUCGACAGGGACGAAGCUUUUGUGACGGUACCUGUAUAAGAAGCACCGGCUAACUACGUUCCAGCAGCCGCGGUAAUACGUAGGGUGCGAGCGUUGUCCGGAAUUACUGGGCGUAAAGAGCUCGUAGGUGGUUUGUCGCGUCGUCUGUGAAAUUCCGGGGCUUAACUCCGGGCGUGCAGGCGAUACGGGCUGACUUGAGUGCUGUAGGGGAGACUGGAAUUCCUGGUGUAGCGGUGAAAUGCGCAGAUAUCAGGAGGAACACCGAUGGCGAAGGCAGGUCUCUGGGCAGUAACUGACGCUGAGGAGCGAAAGCAUGGGUAGCGAACAGG
Molecule: ribosomal RNA, 409 nt
Filed under: Actinomycetes bacterium
Lineage: Bacteria; Bacillati; Actinomycetota; Actinomycetes
Description: Actinobacteria bacterium partial 16S ribosomal RNA
Rfam family: Bacterial small subunit ribosomal RNA
Source: RNAcentral